AGAGAGAGACAUGCGCGCAUAUCAAUAAGCGGAGGAAAAGAAACUAACUAGGAUUCCCUCAGUAACGGCGAGUGAAGCGGGAAGAGCUCAAAUUUGAAAUCUUCAAGGUUCUACCUUGACGAAUUGUAGUUUAAAGAAGUGUUUUCUGUUGGAGUUUUGGUAAAAGUUCUUUGGAAUAGGACAUCAUAGAGGGUGAGAAUCCCGUAUUUGACCAUUAUUUUCCAGCUUUGUGAUACACUUUCAAAGAGUCGGAUUGUUUGGGAAUGCAGUCCAAAAUGGGUGGUAAAUUUCAUCUAAAGCUAAAUACUUGGCGAGAGACCGAUAGCGAACAAGUACCGUGAGGGAAAGAUGAAAAGAACUUUGAAAAGAGAGUUAAACAGUACGUGAAAUUGUCAAAAGGGAAGCGUUUGACACCAGUGUUGUUUUCUCGAAAAUCAAUUAAAAAAGGCAGGAUUUUGUGUUGUAUUGACUUUAUCAGCUUUCUGCACUCUUUUCUUGUCUUUUUUAGAUGCACUUUUCGUUUAACAAGUCAACAUCAAUUUCUUUUGUUGUAAAAGGGUCCAUUGGAAGGUGGCUUUCUUUUCGGAGAAAGUGUUUAUAGCCUUUGGCCUCUGCAAUCGGAGAGAUUGAGGUCUGCAGCGUAGAUCCUUCGGGGUUAGAUACAUUUGUGCUAAGUUGAUAGCCUUUCAUAGACAACUUGUUGACUAUGAUCAGUCAUGUAGCUUACUCGCUUAUGCUAUUUUACCUACGCUUAGGAUGUUGAUGUGAUACUGCGAGCA
This 779-nucleotide ribosomal RNA is filed under the name uncultured Neocallimastigales. RNAcentral's name for it is "partial large subunit ribosomal RNA". It matches the Rfam family "Eukaryotic large subunit ribosomal RNA", at positions 23 to 643 of the family's 3401-position model. Lineage: Eukaryota; Fungi; Neocallimastigomycota; Neocallimastigomycetes; Neocallimastigales. The record is from RNAcentral.